Long non-coding RNA from Dreissena polymorpha, 648 nucleotides. RefSeq lists it as uncharacterized. The transcript has 2 exons. Lineage: Eukaryota; Metazoa; Mollusca; Bivalvia; Myida; Dreissenidae. The record is from RefSeq and is a predicted model, not a curated record.
UUAUGCCCCCCUUCGAAGAAGAGGGGGUAUAUUGCUUUGCUCAUGUCGGUCUGUCGGUCGGUCUGUCGGUCCGUCCACCAGGUGGUUGUCAGACGAUAACUCAAGAACGCUUGGGCCUAGGAUCAUGAAACUUCAUAGGUUCAUUGAUCAUGACUCGCAGAUGACCCCUAUUGAUUUUGAGGUCACUAGGUCAAAGGUCAAGGUCACGGUGACCCAAAAUAGUAAAAUGGUUUCCGGAUGAUAACUCAAGAACGCUUAGGCCUAGGAUCAUGAAACUUGAUAGGUAGAUUGAUCAUAACUCGCAGAUGACCCCUAUUGAUUUUCAGGUCACUAGGUCAAAGGUCAAGGUCACAGUGACCCGAAAUAGUAAAAUGGUUUCCGGAUGAUAACUCAAGAACGCUUAGGCCUAGGAUCAUGAAACUUGAUAGGUAGAUUGAUCAUGACUCGCAGAUGACCCCUAUUGAUUUUCAGGUCACUAGGUCAAAGGUCAAGGUCACGAUGACCCGAAAUAGUAAAAUGGUUUCCGGAUGAUAACUGAAGAACGCUUAUUCCUAGGAUCAUGAAACUUGAUAGGUAGAAUGAUCAUGACUCGCAGAUGACCCCUAUUGAUUUUCAGGUCACUAGGUCAAAGGUCAAGGUCACAGUGAC